UGCUCGCUUCAGCAGCACAUAUACUAAAAUUGGAAUG
RNAcentral lists this small nuclear RNA (37 nucleotides) under Cervus elaphus hippelaphus. The record is from RNAcentral. Lineage: Eukaryota; Metazoa; Chordata; Mammalia; Artiodactyla; Cervidae.